CCUACGGGAGGCAGCAGUGAGGAAUAUUGGUCAAUGGGCGUAAGCCUGAACCAGCCACGUCGCGUGAAGGAUGACGGCUCUAUGGGUUGUAAACCUCUUUUAUAAAGGAAUAAAGUGCGGCACGUGUGCCGUUUUGUAUGUACUUUAUGAAUAAGGAUCGGCUAACUCCGUGCCAGCAGCCGCGGUAAUACGGAGGAUCCGAGCGUUAUCCGGAUUUAUUGGGUUUAAAGGGUGCGUAGGCGGGAUGUUAAGUCAGAUGUGAAAGUUUGUGGCUCAACCAUAGAAUUGCAGUUGAAACUGGCAGUCUUGAGUAUGGGUGAGGCAGGCGGAAUGCGUGGUGUAGCGGUGAAAUGCGUAGAUAUCACGAAGAACUCCGAUUGCGAAGGCAGCCUACUAAACCAUAACUGACGCUGAUGCACGAAAGCGUGGGUAUCAAACAGGAUUAGAUACCCUGGUAGUC
Molecule: ribosomal RNA, 460 nt
Filed under: uncultured bacterium
Lineage: Bacteria
Description: partial 16S ribosomal RNA
Rfam family: Bacterial small subunit ribosomal RNA
Source: RNAcentral